GGAAUAUUGCACAAUGGACGAAAGUCUGAUGCAGCAACGCCGCGUGCGCGAUGAAGGCCUUCGGGUCGUAAAGCGCUUUUCGGGUGGAUGAGGAAGGACAGUACACCCGGAAUAAGGUACGGCUAACUACGUGCCAGCAGCCGCGGUAAAACGUAGGUACCGAGCGUUAUCCGGAUUUACUGGGCGUAAAGCGUGUUUAGGCGGUCAGGCAAGUCGGGCAUGAAAUCUCUCGGCUCAACCGGGAGAGGUUGUCCGAUACUGCCAGACUUGAGGGCAGUAGAGGGUGGUGGAAUUCCGGGUGUAGUGGUGAAAUGCGUAGAUAUCCGGAGGAACACCAGUGGCGAAAGCGGCCACCUGGACUGUACCUGACGCUCAAACACGAAAGCUAGGGGAGCGAAC
This 399-nucleotide ribosomal RNA is filed under the name uncultured bacterium. RNAcentral's name for it is "bacterial SSU rRNA". It matches the Rfam family "Bacterial small subunit ribosomal RNA", at positions 358 to 773 of the family's 1533-position model. The record is from RNAcentral.